Molecule: transfer RNA, 65 nt
Filed under: Nuttallina californica
Lineage: Eukaryota; Metazoa; Mollusca; Polyplacophora; Chitonida; Tonicellidae
Description: tRNA-Pro
Source: RNAcentral
CAGAUAAUAGUUUACUAAAAUAUUAACAUUGGAAGUUAAAGAUCAAAAUUACUUUUGUUAUCUGA